Molecule: RNA transcript, 3880 nt
Organism: Lycium barbarum (goji berry)
Lineage: Eukaryota; Viridiplantae; Streptophyta; Magnoliopsida; Solanales; Solanaceae
Gene name: alpha-crystallin domain-containing protein 22.3-like
Exons: 4
Source: RefSeq, a predicted model, not a curated record
UCCGAGAUUUUGAAGAGGAGUUUGAUUCUGGGGUUGUUCCAUUUUUUCUCUUUUCCAUAUUUGUAUACUUAGUUGAUCAGUCUGAAAUUAAGAGAACCCAAUUGGCCAUUGCAACAUAAAGCUUCAAUUUUUCUUUUUAUUCUUAUAAAGUUUGAAGCUUUUAUGGUGGGUGUUAGAGGAUAGGGCUCAGACCUUGAUGUUUUUUCCUUUUUCUUUUUGACAUUAAAGAUGGUAUUUUUUCUAUUGUUGCAAGAUUUUGUUUGUGUGCAGUUCAUUUACUGAGUUGAACUUUGUUUAACUGGUUGUAUGCAAUUUUUGCUCUUUCUCAUUUUGAAAUUUUCAAAAAAAGGUAUUUAAAUUUAAUUAUCAAGUUAAACUUAUUUGAAUGGCCAUUGAAGCUUUUUUCAAGUAUCCAUGUUGACAAAAAGCUCCAAGAAUCUCAAUUAAUCUUUGUUGGAAGCAUAUACUUCUUAAGUUUUAUCCAAACGUGGAUCAGUUUGCAUUUGAAUUUGUUUUUUUUUUUAAUUUACCUUGAAAUUGUUUAGGCUGUGUUAUUCUAGCUAAUAUUAUUGCUUCAUUCGGAAAAGGAAAAAAAAGAGAAGCUAAAGUAACUGAACAUGUUCAUCAUUUCUGAUUCUUCUCUUUGCCCUUUCUGCAUAAUCAUUUGAUCCAAAGUUUUGCAAUGCUAGUUUAGGAUGGAAUUUGUAGUUGAUCAUUAUGUUAGCAAUCAAGUGAAGGAAAAACUAACUAAUAGUAAUACCUGAUAUAAUGUGAACUGUUGAAAAUAGUAAAGUUAAAUGUUUACGUGUCUAGAUUCAAAUGUCUUUUAGUUAUCCUAGGUGCAUGGCCCUUUGUAUUAUCUAGGUGACUUUUAUAAUACUCCCUCCGGAUCAAAAAGAGUGUUCACCUACUCAUUUUCACACUCCUUAAGAAAAUACUAACUCUUAAGCAAAAAUAGGUAAUUUGACAAAACUAUCCAUAAUUAAAUAGGUAUUGGGAUUUGAUCACUUAUACUUAAUACGGCAAUUUUGAAAGAAUAAGGUUAAUUGUUUUUUGAUUUGGUAAGUGAACACUCUUUUUGAACCAAAAAAUAAAGGUUAGUGGAAGAUCUUUUUGAUCCGAAGGGAGUAUCAAUGUUGUCAGGUUCAAGUGUAUGUGUGAAUGUACUUAACAAGUGUGAGUCUAGAAGACUCUAGUAGCACCUAUAUAAACCCUCUUUUUAGUGAUGUUACGUAAGAGUGGAGUUUUCCUAAUGAUAUGAAUUGAGCUUAAUGUUUAUCUCCCUCUUCCUUCUUUGUGCCUAUUAUAUUAUCAAGAUCCGCCUUAUAUUUCCAACAUGAACAACGAAUGAGACGUCUUUUCUUUUUCUAGUUUUGUCCCUAUAAUUUUAUUAUUUACAAUAUGUUGGUCAAACGUAUUAAUGCAUCACACUUCUUUAGCUGAAUGUGUUCCUAGGAAUGCCUUUGAGAAAUUGGUUGAUGAUACGGGAAUUUGAACAUAGCUUCUAGAAGUGGGCCAUGCUUUGCAGCAGUGGCUAGUCGAUGAAAGCUGUUUUUGUUAACGUCAACAUUGAAUGAUGUAAUGUGGUUCUCUAUUUUGACAUACUAGACCUGUUUUUGACAUAAGUGUUUAUUGGCCCAGGCUGGAGGUAGUUCCAGGUUUGCAUGUGGAUUGAACAGAUAAAAGUGGUUUCCUAUGAUAUUAAUGCUAGUAAACCUAUUUGGCUAUUACGACGUUAUGAGCUCAUUUAGUUCUCCAGUUCUUCUAAUUAUAUGUUUUCUCUUGCUAGUAAGGUUGAUACCCAGCUUGUGAGUUAGUUUUUCUAUUUGAAUCCCUCCUUUCUAAGUAUGCUGGUUGCAUAUGUGUAAAUCAGGGUUAAUGACUUGUAGAGCAUCCGUUAAGUUCUGGUUAAUGCUUUACACUGAGUGGGUUGCUUACGUUCAGGUUCAGUUCCUGUUAAACGUGUCAUUAAACUCUCUUCAUCUCUUUUCUUUAUUAUCUACCUCUUAACAGUAGGUAUAACCAAUAGUAUAUAGAUACUAAAAGCACUUUUCCUUGGUAUCUGCACAUUCUGUAAUAGACUGUUUAUAGGUUAUAUGAAGUACUAUGACAUGCAGAUUACGGUAUUUCUCUGUAUUUUUUUCAUGCCCUAGGGUUCCUUCUUUUUUCAAUUUUCAACCUUUUCUGGUAGUUGUUCUUUUUGGCCUUUUUCCUACCUGAGUUCUUCUAGCUUUUAUUGUUGGCAGAAUAAGUUGGAUAAACAUUGAAGGUUUAUGGUAUGCGUCUGGUGAAGACACUGUGAACAUGGAAGUUAGUAAAUGUCAAACAUGUAAUGCUUUACAUCCUGAAAAGAAGGUUAAGAGAAUAAUUUGGAAGCGUUCCAAGGAGAAACCGAAUGAGAAAGACGUAUGUCGUUGAUGAAGAUGGAAGGCAAUGUGAAAAAGAGGCCCCGUUCUGAUUCAAUGACCAGUGAUUUAGACGGGCAUGAUGUCCCUUCUACCUCUUCCCAACUUGGAAGUAUGUAAUUUGUUGAUCCUGUUGUCUUGAAUGGAACAGCAUGUGAAGGGGAAACUGGACCACCUGUUGGAGUUGUUGAUAUUGGUGUUAGCUUAUCUGAAUCUAUGUUGCUUGGACUCUCCAACAAUGUUGCCGCACCCAUGUCAGAUUCUCCAAAAAUGCACUGCUUUUGGAGUAUCCGACACGCACCCGUCCACAUUUUUGAAGAGUCUGAGCAACACAGAUCUGCAUACUAUUUUCGUAUUGCUGUACCUGGAGUCAAGAAAGAUCCUGCCAAAUGGCAGCAGAGAUGUGUGUUUUAUUCAGUGUGGCAAUUCAAGCUUGAUUCAAAAUGUCACUCCUAGCUGGGACACUUGCUUUUCCAUGCCUUCACCAGCUGCUUUAAGAGUAAGGGUACACUCACUUUGACACGCUUCUUUGGGUGACUUCUACUAGGAAGGAAUUUCGAAGGAAACGCUGGUGAAAGACUGAAUACUUGAAUAUGCGUACAAAAAGGCCAGCGUGCUGCAAAUAUCCAUAUGAAUGCGAACCAGAAGAUGUCGUACAAACUGGAGCAGCCCAAGAGGGGAGAGCAGAAUUUCCUAAUGAGCCAGUGACUCUCUUUGUUACCAAAGAUUCUUACAAGUAUAAGGUUGUCCUGCCGGAUGUCCUGAGAAACCUGUGCAAAUUGUUGGUUGAUGUUCAGUAUAAUGGGGAAUUCAAGGUAGGAGGGAUGGUAAGUGCUGGUGAAAUAACAAGCACUGUGGCGCCAAUUACGCUUAUUAGAAACACUCGACGGAUAUUUCCUCCUGGUCACUUCACUAUCAGUUUCACUUUGCCAAUACCUGCUGAUCCAGAGAGUUUAACAGCCUGGUUACUCUCAGAUGGUGUUUUGGAAGUGUGUUGCUUGGAAUUUCUGAAAGUGAUGGCGAUAGUGAGAUGAUUGAAAUGUCCAGAAAUCCGCCCUGGAUAAUCUGUUGCUUGUUUUUCUUAUCCCAUUGAUGAGAAUGAUGUCUGGGGAAGUAGGAACUUCCGAAUUUUCGCAACCAAACUCAUGGGAUGAGCAAGUGAAAGUUGUAUAUUUUGUGUACAUGUAAGAGCCAAACGUAUAUUGGGUUCUUGUAAAUGUGGCAGUGCUAGUUUUUGCAAAACUAUCAGCUAUUUUUGCGUUGUAACUAACUAUCAUAUUGCUGAAGCACUUCAAUGUUGGAAGUGACCAAAUGUAUUUUGCUUUCUUGUAAAUGUAGUGGUCACCUUUUCUGUACAAGUAAGCUUCAAAGUUACUAAGUAGCAAGUAAAUAUUUUGGUGUUGAACAAUGCCACAUUCAAAGUUGUACUUUUCAUGGAUAUAAAUAUAGUUCUGGUAUCUUUUCUUCUGUUUAGA